GAGGGCGGCGGAGACGUGUGGGGGCUGAGUGCUUGCCCUCCCCUUCUUCUUCAUUCCCCUUGACGCCUUAGGGAGGGGAGUGGCUGGUGUCCAGGUGCUGCGUUGCAAGUCAGUGUCUUGGGUGCCCUGAACUGCGAUUGGCGCGAGGGGGCAUCCGGCGCCUCCAUGAUGGCUUCUGAUCUAGGAGAUACCUCAAGUUUGGAACCCCCUUCGGUGCCCCUUCUGGAGACUCGGGUACCAUCGAAAAAAGCGAACAGAAAAGGGGGGCUGCCGGAGGCCAAGAGGAAGGGGCGAGCUAGACGGUUG
This is a long non-coding RNA of Gekko japonicus, 306 nucleotides long. RefSeq lists it as uncharacterized. The transcript has 3 exons. NCBI's taxonomy places the organism in Eukaryota, Metazoa, Chordata, Lepidosauria, Squamata, Gekkonidae. The record is from RefSeq and is a predicted model, not a curated record.